Molecule: ribosomal RNA, 491 nt
Filed under: uncultured bacterium
Lineage: Bacteria
Description: bacterial SSU rRNA
Rfam family: Bacterial small subunit ribosomal RNA
Source: RNAcentral
GAACGCUAGCUACAGGCUUAACACAUGACAAGUCGCGGGGCAGCUAUUUUCCUAGCUUGCUAAGGGAAGAUGGCGACCGGCGCACGGGUGAGUAACGCGUAUCCGACCUUCCCAUGUCCGACGGGAUAGCCCGUCGAAAGGCGGAUUAAUACCGUAUGAGGUCACAUGCGGGCAUCUAAAUGUGACGAAAGGUUUGGCGGACAUGGAUGGGGAUGCGUCCGAUUAGCUUGUUGGCGGGGUAACGGCCCACCAAGGCGACGAUCGGUAGGGGUUCUGAGAGGAAGGUCCCCCACAUUGGAACUGAGACACGGUCCAAACUCCUACGGGAGGCAGCAGUGAGGAAUAUUGGUCAAUGGGCGAGAGCCUGAACCAGCCAAGUAGCGUGCAGGAUGACGGCCCUAUGGGUUGUAAACUGCUUUUAUAAGGGAAUAAAGUGAGCCUCGUGAGACUUUUUGCAUGUACCUUAUGAAUAAGGACCGGCUAAUUCCGUG